This 253-nucleotide ribosomal RNA is filed under the name uncultured bacterium. RNAcentral's name for it is "partial 16S ribosomal RNA". It matches the Rfam family "Bacterial small subunit ribosomal RNA", at positions 524 to 776 of the family's 1533-position model. The record is from RNAcentral.
UACGUAGGCAGCAAGCGUUGUUCGGAGUUACUGGGCGUAAAGAGUAUGUAGGCGGUUGGGUAAGUUUGGUGUGAAAUCUCCCGGCUUAACUGGGAGGGUGCGCUAAAGACUGCCUGGCUCGAGUGUGGGAGAGGAAAGCGGAAUUCCUGGUGUAGCGGUGAAAUGCGUAGAUAUCAGGAGGAACACCUGCGGUGUAGACGGCUUUCUGGACCAUUACUGACACUGAGACACGAAAGCGUGGGUAGCAAACAGG